UCCGCCCGGGGGUCCGCCCCUUCCGCCCGGGGGUCCGCCCCUUCCGCCCGGGGGUCCGUCUGCCUCCCCUCCCGCUGCGGUUCGCGGGCCCCUGGGGCUCGUUCUGACCGGCGUUCUGAGACUGGGGCAGCCAGGAGGGAAGACAGUCCGGGCGGCUGAGCAGACCCCGAGCCUGUGAGCGAUACGAGCACAUUUUUAUGCUAUAGACUUCUCCAGGUAAUGUCUAGGGCUUGUGUCAUCCAAGGAAGCCACAUGGUCCAGGGCUGCAGGUUGUGCAGGAUCAUUUUCUUCAUCUCUGGUACUGGGCAUAUACUGGGGCCAAGCAGUUGGGCUUGAGAGUCUUGAGCUGCCUGCAGAAAGUGUCCAGGAAAUUUGAGAAGAUGCAAGCAAAGCAUCGUGGUGAAAAGGAUGAAGAUGGGGAGAGAAUCUGGCACCGAUAAAUACAGGAUAUGAUUCUAUUUUAGUAAUCCCCUGAAGAUCAUCCUGCAGGUUUGCAGCACUUUUCUGGUUAGUUCUGUCUUUAUUUAUCUGUUAUAUCCCUUGUGCUGGGUAAAUCGACAUGUAAUUGAUUUUAGUUAAUUGCUGUGUAACACCACACAUUUACUUCUCUUCUUUUCUCAUUCAGAGAAAUUUUAUCUUCAUUUAUUUUAUACUUUAUUGAUACUGAUGCUCUUAAAUAUAUUACAUAUAAUCACUUACAAUUUUUAGAAUCAAAAUGGCACUUGCCGCUUUUGUUUACCAGAAUGAGAUGACAAAAUGGAGGAAUUAUCUUUUUUUCUAUGAAAGCAACACUAUUUUCAUAAAAAAGAAUCUUUGAAAAUAGAAAUAGUUUAAACCUACAAAUAAGCUUUAGCAUAAACUGCAAAAGCGGAGAAAUGAAAUGAAGAUGGAAUUUAUAGCUAAAAAGGAAGCACAAUGUAAAGAACUAGAAAAUUAUCAGCUUAGACAUGGAAAGGAUCAAGUCAUGUUUGGAAGAGAAUACAAAAGGUGUGGCUAAGUAAAGUUUAACAAGGAGAUGAGUGUGGAUGGAAGGAAGCCAGUGGCUGUUCAUCAAGACAAAAGGAUGACCUCAAAGACAUUUUUCAAAUCACUGAGGCUGCCCCUUCCAUCAGCCCAGAAUGCCAAGGCCUUAAGGACAAAACAGCUUCAAAGAAGGGGACUAAGGCACACCUGGGACUUCAGGGAUCACUUCUCAGGGCCACCUCAAGUCUCUGUGCCCCAAAGUCUGUUGCAGCACUUCUUUGACACGCCAGCUGUGGUUCAGGUCAGGCCAGGCAUAGCUUGGGCGGCCCUUCCCAAGGGCACUACAAGUUGUAAACCUUGACAGCCUCCACGUGCUGAUAACUUUGCAUAUUAGCAGAGUGCAAGAGCUGUGGAAGCAUGACUACCUCCAGGUAGAUUUCAAAUGAUGUCUCAGAGAGUCUUGGGACCCAGGCAUAGAACCGUCACAGGAACACAGCUGCUGCAGAGAGUCCCCACUAGGGCAGUGCCUAGUGAAGCCACGAGGACAGCUUCACCCAUAAGACCUCAGAACUCUAUCAUCACCAACAUGGAACUCCAGCCCAGGAGACUGACAGGCACUAGACUUCAGCCCCUGAAAGGUCUGAUGUGGACUUUGCCCCACAAAGCCAUGAAGGUAGGAUCCCCUGGAGCUCUGGAGAUCCAGCCACCAUGCCAGUGUGUGAAAGCAGGACAUGGAAUCAAACAUUAUUCUCAAUAAUUAAGAUUUAAUGUUGUUUGCCAUGUUUGGCUUUGGAUUCAUUUGGGACCUGUUACCACUGUCCUCUUGCCCCUUUCUUCCUUUGGGAAUAGGAAUGUCUAUUCUAUGUCUGUUCCACCUUUGUAUUCUGGAAGCACAUAAUUGUUUCAUUUCAAAUGCUCACAGCUAAAGGGGAAUUUGCUUCAGGGUGAAUCAUGCCUUCAUUCUCACCUGUAACUGGUGGAGAUGAUAUUUAGGUGAAACUCUGGACUUUAGACCUUGGAGUUGAUGCCGGAAUGAAUUAAGACUUUUGAGGCUUUUCGAUGAAAUGAAUGUAUUUUGCAUAUGAGGAGGGCAUAAAUUUGGGGGGCAGAAUGUUGUGGCUUGAAUGUGUUCCCUCUCAAAUUAAUAUAUCGAAGCCUAAUCCAAAUUGUGGUGGUAUGGGGAGGUGGUGCCUUUGGGAAGUGAUUCUUAUGUCAUGAGGCCUCCAGUCUCAGACAUAAAUUAGUGUCUUGCAAAAGGGAUACAGAGAAUAACUCAGGCCCUUAUGGCCCUUCUGUUUUUUUUGUACUACAUGAGAGUACGCCAUUCUUCCUCUCCAAAGGAUGCAUAAGCAAGGCACCAUCUUGGAAACAGAGAAACUAGGCCCUCGCCAGCCAGUGUUUUGAUCUUAGGCUUCUCAGCCUUCAGAACCAUGAGGGAAUAGUUUUACUGUUUAUAAAUUACCCAGGGUGAUAUUUUGUUGUAGCAGUACAAAGAGACUAAGACGGCUCCUUUGCCCAUUUUUAAAUUCGUUUAUGUGUAUGUUUUGCUACUGAAUUGUAUGAGUUCUUUCUUAGUUCAUUUUCUGUUACUAUAGUAGAAUAUUACAAACUGAGUAAUUUAUAAGGAAAUGUAUUUCUCAUAUGUUCUGGAGGCUGAAAGUCCAAGAGCAUGGUGCUGACAUCUGGUGAAGACCUUCUUGCGAUGUUACGUAGCCCAUGGAGAAGGGGCAAGAGGGCACACGAGCACACAAGGCACAGAGGGAAAAGAGCUGACCUCCUCUCUUCUCUCAGGAAUCCAUUCCCGACAUAACUCACCCACUCCUGAGACUAUGGCAGGAAUCCCUUAAUGGAGGAGGAGACCUCAUGGCCUGAUCACUCCUAAAGGGCACACGAGCACACAAGGCACAGAGGGAAAAGAGCUGACCUCCUCUCUCCUCUCAGGAAUCCAUUCCUGACAUAACUCACCCACUCCUGAGAUUAUGGCAGGAAUCCCUUAAUGGAGGAGGAGACCUCAUGGCCUGAUCACUCCUAAAGGGCACACGAGCACACAAGGCACAGAGGGAAAAGAGCUGACCUCCUCUCUCCUCUCAGGAAUCCAUUCCUGACAUAACUCACCCACUCCUGAGAUUAUGGCAGGAAUCCCUUAAUGGAGGAGGAGACCUCAUGGCCUGAUCACUCUUAAAGGCCCUGCUCGUUAACACCACCAUGACGGCAACCAUGUUUCCAAUGAGUAAAUUUCAGGGGAACACUUUCAAACCAUAGCAAGUUCCUUACAUGUUUUGAAUAUUUUGUAUAUUAAAUCGUUGUCAGAUGUAUAGUUUUCAAACAUUUUCUCUUAAUCUAUAGGUUGUCUUUUUUCUUUUUCUUUUUUUUGUUUGUUUGCUUUGCAGAAGCUUUUUAGUUUAAUGUAAUCCCACUUACGUAUUUUUGCUUUUGUUUUCUGUGCUUUUGUUGUCAUAUAAAAAAUUGUUCCCAGGACCAAGGGCAAGAAAAUAUUUCCUAUGUUUUCUCCUAGGAGUAUAAUUGUCUCAGGUCUUAAAUUUGAUUAUUGAAGUUGUUUUCUGUAUAUGGUAUAAGAUAAUGGUCCCACUUCAUUGUUUUUCAUGUGAGUAUCCAGUUUUUCCAACACCAUUUAUUGUAGAGACUAAUCACCCCAAUAUAUAUUCUUUGUGCCCUUCUCGAAAAUCAGUGGACUUUUUGUGUAUGAGUUUUUUUCUUGGCUCUUCAUUCUGUUCCAUUGCUCUAUGUGACUGUUUUUAAGCCAGUACCAUACUAUUUUGAAUACAAUAGGUUUGUAUUAUAAUUUGAAAUCAGGAAGUUAAUUCCUUUCUUUUUAUUUCUUAAGAUCGCUUUGUCUGUAUGUGUCUUUUUUUUUGUCAUUUCAUGUGCAUAUAGAGCUUUUUUUCCUAAUUUGGUAAAAGAUGUCUUUGAAAUUUUGAUAGGGAUUUUAUUGAAUGUAUAAUUCACUUUUGGUAGUAUGGCCUUUUUCAAUAUUAAUUCUUCCAGUUCAUAAAUAUGAGGUAUCAUUCUCUUGAUUUGUAUCUUGGGGCCUUACAGGUUUUCUACAAAUAAAAUCAUGUCAUCUACAAAGAAAAAAAAGAUAAUUUUACUUUUUCCUUUCUAUUUAUUUCUCAUGUCUAAUUGCUCUGACUAGGAAUUUCAGUACAAUAUUACACAGAAGUGGCAAGAGUAGGCAAUUGUGUUGUAUCCAAUUAUAAAGUUUUCAGUGUUUACACGUGGAUUAUGAUGUUAGCUGUGAGCUUUUUGUGAAUGCUCCUUAUUGUAUUGAGGUAAGUUCCUUUGAUACCAAUUUUGUUUAGAAUUUUUAUCAUGAGCAUAUGUUGAACUUGUCAUAGUGAAAUGUUUUGUUUACAUUUAAAUAAUGAUAGAAAAAUGUAAUCCAUUUAUGUUUAAGGUAAUUAUUAAUAGGUAAAGACUACUGCCAUUUUGUUGUUUUGACUGUUUUGUAGUUUAAUCGUUGUUUUAUUAUUUCUUUCUUGUCUUCUUUUUUAAUAUAAUUGUUUUUGUAGUGGUGUACUUUAAUUCCUUUAUCUUUUUUGUAUGUGGUACAGGCUUUGCCUUUGUAUGUUGUAGUUACUAUGAGGCUUACAUAAAGUAUCUCUUAGUUAUGAUAUUCUAUUUUAAGUUGAUAACAAUCUAACUUUUACUGCAUACAAAAACUCUACAUUUUAACUUCUCCUCCACCAACAUUUUAUGUUAUUGAUGGCACAAUUUGCCUUUUACAUGUUAAGUAUCCAUUGCCAAAUUAUUAUAGCUGGUUCUUUUGAAUACAUUUGUCUUUUUACUUUAAUAAUAGAGUUAAAAGUUAUUCAUGCACUGUGAUUACAGUAUUAGAAUAUUUGAAUUUGAAUACAGUUUUACCGUUAUAGUGAGCUUCAUUCUUUAGUACGCAUUUCUGUUGUUAGUUAGCGUCCUUUUGUUUUGACUUGAAGAGCUCCUUUACCGUUGCUUGUAAGGAAAGCCCUAAUUGUGAUGAGCUAUCACAGCUGAUUUGUCUGACACAACAGAAUUACACAUUCACUGGACAGACUGCAUGUUUGGUCAUAACACAGAUCUUCAUAAAUCUCAAAGGAUUGAAAACCUGUGACUGUGUUUUCUAACCAAAAAAAAUCAAUUAGAAAUCAGCAAUAAAACAUCUAGGAAAAUGCAAAUAUUUAGAAAUUAGACUACACAUAUUUAAACAAUUCACAAGUCAAAGAUGGAAUAAAGAGUGAUAUUAGCAGUUUUUUUUAAGUGAAUGUCAAAAAAAAACCUCACACUUCAGAAUUCAUCAAAUACGGGCAAAGAUAGCAAUCAUGAAGGAAAAAUGUAAAUACUGUCUUGAAUCUUUUAAAGCCAGGGACUUAAGGAUCUACAUUAAGAAGCUACUAAAAAGAACGAAGAUGAGCCCAGGUAAGUGAGAGGAAGGAAAGAAUUAUAAGAACAGAAAUCAAUUUUUUUAAAAGCAGAUAAACAAUAGAGAAACUUAACAAACACAAAAAUGUGUUCUUUAAAAAAGAUGAACAAAAUUUACACAUUCCUCAAAACAUUUACCAGCAAUAAACAAAGAACACAAAUCAGUAAUAUUAUACAUAAAAAUCAAGGUUAUCACAACAGAAAGAAUAUGUACAAUGUCAUUAUAAAAGGGCUGGAUAUUUUUAGGUGUGAUACACCCAGAACAUAUUUAGUCUUUAUCAUAUUACCAGUUUUAAAAUUGCCAUUUUCUUUCUUAUAUCUUCUUAAAAAUAUUAUUUUUAGAUUAAACAAAUCAACAUUUGUCUUGAUAUUUAGAAUGUUUAUUGUCAUUUUUCUUUCUACAGGCCGAUUCAGUAUACUUUUAAAUUUACGUGUUAUUUUACAACUCCCAACUGUCCACUUUAAAUAAUUUGCUAGUUUAAAAUAUAAGUAAUAUACAUUCAAAAUAUUUUACUUUUGUCCUAAAAAAAUGAAAACACCUAUUUAAGAAAAAUGUCAACAUUGAAGUAGGAUUAAGCUUUUGGAAUGCCUCUUCUCUUCUCUAUUAUAUUCACUCAUUUAAUUACUUCUGAGACAUAUCAAAAACUAAGAUGCUUUCAAAACCUUAAUAUUUUUUCCUGGAGAUAAAUCUAUUAAGAAUCUUUAUCUCUGCUCCCUCUCUGGCAAACUGGAAUGGUCUGUAUCCAGAUGUAAAUAUCAUGGAUUUUUAAAAAAUCUCUUCUUCAAGCAAAAGGCAAAGCUCUUGGAAAAGAUUAAUAUUGGCAAAUUAAGGUAUCACCAGUAGGAAAUAAAUAGAAUUCUUUUUAGGUUAUAUAUGUGUUUGCAAAUAAAUAGAAUUCUUUUUAGUUUAUACAUAUAUUUGAAGACCAGUGUUUAGAGAGUGUUUGGUGAAGUAAAAUCUUUUAAUUCGAAAACAAACAUUUGUUGAAUCAGUCCUUAAACAUUGUACUAUGUCUAUGAUCUUUUCAUUGUAUAACAAAUUAUAGCUCCUCUUUGUCUACUUAUGGCUCCUCCAUGAUACUGUGGUAACAACCCAAAUUGCCCCUAACCCAGAAGAUGAAAGUUCAUGUUGUCCCAUCUUGUACUCUUUUUUGAAGAUGAAACCAACCCUGCGACCCUAUCACCAGAUGACUGGGUCAGUUAUUCGUGAAAGUGUCAAGAUAAUUAUAUGAGAGCUAGCCAAAAGACAGAGACCACCAAGUCAAAUCUGUAAAGCGCAUACUUCCAUAUGCGUUAGCCCACAGUAAGUACUGCAGCUAUAAAUUGGAAGUGAAGAAAGAGAGUCUGCAACUUAGGAAUACUCCUUUGCACAUUAACUUUAUAUCUUAGGUCUCUAUGAUGUGCAAACAAUAAUCUCAGAACGUGUCGAACCCAAGAAGUCUGGGUGAGUGAGAAAAUGACUUUCUAUACUGCCUCUGUGUUGCUUUAUUCUGUUAAGCCAGAAUUCCUGAAUGUAUUACUAUUUUCUUAUACUUAAUACAUUUUGGGUUAUCUAUCCAUCUCACAGUAGCUUUCUCACUUGUGUAGAACUGUUCCUUGCCCAUGACAAUGUGUUUUACUUGGAGUCAAAAUUUGACUUAAUAAAUAUGAGUGUUUAUAUUAAAACAUCUUAAGUUUAUCAUUGUUAUUAAAACUGAAGUCACAAUCAGAAAUCCUUGGAAUAACUAAAAAUACCUGAGGCUAAGAGGCCUUAUAAGAAACUCAUUCUGAUAACCUAACUGAAUUCUGUGAAGAAUCUACGUAGAUGGGUAAGGGUAAUUGAAUAGGUACCAACAAGUAAAUAAUGUUGCAAGAUAACAUUUAUUAAAUAUUUACAUAUGUGGGAGUACCUGUGUUAAAUGCUUCAUAUUCAAUUAAUGUAAUUACCACAACGAAAUCUGGAAGUGGUCCUAUUUUUACUUGAAAGAGGCAUUUAUCAACUUGCCCAUGGUUAUAAUUACAGAAACAUUGGAAUAAGUCUGCUAAUCCUCAUAUAGACUGACUUCAAAGUUUAUAAUUCCAAAGCCUGUUUUAAUAUGUCCAUGCAUUACUUUCUUUUCUUUUUUUUUUUUUGAGACAGCGUUUCGCUGGGUCGCCAGGCCCCAGGCUGGAGUGCAGUGAUGUGAUCUCGGUUCACUGCAACCUCCGCCUCCCGGGUUCAAGCAAGUCUCCUGCCUCAGCCUCCCAAGUAGCUGGGACUACAGGUGCAUGCCACCACACCCACCUAAUUUUUGUAUUUUUAGUGGAGACGGGAUUUCACCAUUUUGGCCAGGAUGGUCUCGAUCUCUUGACCUCUUGAUCCGCCUGCCUUGGCCUCCCAAAGUGCUGGGAUUAAAGGCGUGAGCCACCGCGCCCAGCCUUUCCAUCCAUUAUUUUCAUCAAAAGCAGCUGAAGAACUUAUUAAACAUACAGACACCUAGUAUCCAUAUCAGACAUUAAGAAUUGUAAUCUCUGAGUUCCCAUUAGGAAGUAUAAAUACUUAAUAGAUAAUGAGAAUUCUAGGUGAUUUUGUUACUGAGAUUUUAGUAAGAUACAUAGGUUCUAGAUAAUGUGGAACAAAAUCAAAACCAAGAAGGGAAGAUUAAAUGGAAACAGCUGGAUAAGCCUGAGAAAUAAAAACAAGUGACAUUUUCAUCUAAUGUGGCUGCGCAAGAGAAUCACUUAGGAAACUUUUAAAAACAUUCAUUGGCAUUUCUCCCCAGGCUAUCCCUCCCCAGCUCCCCCCUACGCUGUCCUCCCCUAUUCCCCCCAAUAGACCCCAGUGUAUAAUACUCCCUUCCCUGUGUCUAUGUGUUCUCAUUUUUCAUCACCCACCUAUGAGUGAGAAUAUGCGGUAUUUCAUUUUCUGUUCUUGUGUCAGUUUGCUGAGAAUGAUGUUCUAUGCCAAAUGUGGGUGAAGGGGAGGAAGGGAGCAGAACACACUGCCAUGUGUGUACCUGUGCAACUAUCUUGCAUGUUCCGCACAUGUACCCCCAAAUCUAAAAUGCAAUGAAAAAAAUAAAUUAAAAAAAAAAAUUCAUGUCUUUGCUCUACCCCAGACCCAUGACAUCUGGAACCUUCACAUCAGUACUUCAGAAAUGUUCCCAGAUGAUUUUUAAUAAGAAACCAGAUUGUUCAUUAACAUAAAACUCAAACUAAUUUUGAAAGAAUUUCUGCUAUUAAAUGUGACAAUUGAACAAAUCAAAGCAGCCUCUCUGAUCUCUGUUAUAUAUAACAGAGAUUAUAUAGAAUCUCUGUUGGAGGUGUUUGGAGAGUGUCAUCUGACUAUCCUUAUUUACCGCAGUUUGCAAAGCAUGGGCAAUAUACACAUAUCUAAUAAUCCUAUUGGUAUUUGGCAAAAUAAUAGUUAAUGAUGAUAAACUUUGUUUUUCUAUUCGAGUUUUGCAUUUAUAAGAAUAAAUUAUUUUAAUUCCCGUUACAUCACAAAGAUUCCCACUGUAAUUCCUUGUCAUUGCUCAAAUUCCUGAUUGAUAAAAUAUUAUAUUUUACACCUGAAAAUUUAGAUUAGAACCAAAGGUUGAUAUAGGAAUUUUAAGAGGUACCAAGCUUAAUUACCAGAGCAAAACCACUCUAUGCUCUCAAAUCAAUUUAUAUGCCUAGAUCUAGGAAAUACAUGAAAAUGUUCUCUUUCCGUAGAAUUUAUAAACCACAUUUAUCCUUUAGUUAAAAAGAUUCUGUAUCACCAUCAGGGUGGAGGGUGGUGGAAGUAGGAAAAAGUAAAGUAGCAAAAUAUAUUUUAGAAACUGACUAGUAAGGCAUAUGAAAUACGUAAACAGAAUAUGUUACCUAUGAUUCACAAUCAUUUGGCUCUACCAUACUUGACAUUCUGUUGUAUAUUCAGUUUCAUUGAUUCCUUCUUAGAAAACUGCUAGAACUCUUAAGAAAAUAAAAAUGCCCUUUUAGAUAAACAUAUCUUUGCAUACCUAAUGCGACAUGAUUACAGCUAGAAGAGUGUAAUAGCCUUUCUUUUAACUCCAAUAAUUUGGUAUAUUUUAACUUUAUUUUUCUAAGUGUGUUUUAUUACCUGAAAUUGUCUGCAAUUAUUACAUUUAGAAAGUAGAUAAUAAAACAAUGUGGCAUUUUAAACUAUUGCUAUUUUAAAAUAACCAGAGUCUGGAAAACUCAUACAUUAUGAUACUUUAUUAGCUAUUAUAACAUCGUGGACCUCUUUUCUCUGGAAAAAAAAAAAAUGCAAGUCAGCAGAUAACUUUGGUGGUGUUGGUCCUUGAUCUAUAUCGAGAGCAAAGUUACCAACUGGAUUCAGAAAAGCAUUUGUUAUGAGUAGUCUCUGUGAUGAUUGUCUAGAGAGAAAAAUAUUUCUCUAGGGAUUCUCUAGACACAGUCAUUCUAUAAAAGAGGUCUGAGCAGUGAUUUCUUGGGUAUUACCCCAAAAGCACAGUCAACAAAAACAAAAAUAGACAAAUGAGAUUGAAUCAAACCAAAGAAUUUCUAUACAGCAAAGGAUAAAAUUAACCAAGUAAAAUAUAACACAGAGAUUAGAAAAAAUAUUUACAAAUCACACAUCAGAGGUUAACAUUCAAAAUAUACAAGAAACUCAGACUACUCAGUAAUAAGAAAACAAUCCUAUUAAAAUAAUGGGGAAAUACCUUGAAUGGGCAUUUCUUACAAGAAGUCAUACAAAGGCCAGCAGAUAUUAGGUUGGUACAAAAGUAAUUGUGGUGUAUAUUACAUUUAACGUCUCUAAUCACAGAAAUGCAGAUUAAAACCACAAUGAGUUAUCAUUUCAUAUGUGUUAGAUUAGUUGUUAUCAAAGAAUCAAAGAUAACACAUGUUGGUGAGGACUUAGAGUAAUGGGAAUACUUGUACACUCUCAGGAAAUAUUCUGUGACAAUAAUCAACAUGUAGCAAGAAGCAGAACCCUUGAAUAAACUAAUAGUUAUAAACAAUUCAAAUUAUAUGAUAAAUGUCUCCAUAUUUGUCCAUUGGCUCCUGGCAAAGGAGUAGUCUAAAACUCUUCACAGGCCCAGUUAAAACAAAACAUAAAUUUUAAAGCACAGUUACUUCCAACUGUAUUCAAAAUGGGAACUCUAAUUUAUUUUAAAGGGUAAGAUAAUUUUGAUAUGCGUAAAUCAUACUGGAAAAAAAAGGAUAACUACAGGUCAAUCUUACCUGUUAACAAACAUGCAGAAACCAUAAAGGUAUUUCAGCAGAUUAACUAAGGAAAACAGUGUAGGACUUUAGGAUGAAAUAGAUACCAGGAUGGAAUAAAACAUUAGAAUAUAUGGAUUCCCUAAAUUUGAUUAAAUUCAGAAUUUAUGCCAUAUAUGAAAUAUAUACACAUAUUAAUAGAUCUAAAAAUCACCUAUAAAAUUCAACAGCAUUAUGAAGAGAAUAAAAAAAUAAUAAUUGAAAGAACUCCCGUAAUCCUGAUAGAGUCUAGUAUCCACCUAAAGAAGGCACCAUGCUUGCUGGGGAACCAUUAGAAUUACUCCUAAUGUAGCCUCACCAUCAAUUAAUGUUCCCAUUGUUCCAAAAAUUUGACAGAUAGUUUUUAGCAAUGGUGGAAUUUUCAUUUUUCUCAAUCUGAUAAAUCCAUAAUUCUCUCUCUUAGAAUUUUAUUUUGCAUUUCCUGUUUAUAAAUUAUGUUAGGAAUCUUUUCAUAAGUUUAUUUACCAUUUUGAUUUAUCUUUUGUGAAAUGCUGGUUCACAAUUGUUGUCAUUUUUCUGUUUUUUUCUUAUGAGUUUGUUAUAUACUUGAAUGGUUAUAUAUACAUAGAAGUACAUGAAUAUAGUUUUAUUUUCUCCCUACUUUCUCUUUCUCCCCAGUCAUCUAAUUUAUAUACUUGUUGCAGUUGUUAUUUCCAGGUUGUAAUUAUAGUUUUGACACUAAUACAUCUUUUGUGAAGCAGUCUUACAAAAUUUUAAAAUAGUGGAAUUUAUCACUGUUUUUCAUUUUGGUUUGCAUGUUUUGUGUUUUAUGUAAAGAAUAAUUUAUUAUGCACAUAAUGAUGCAGUAACUGAGAAUUCUAAGCCAGUCAAAUUGGCUUGCUCCCUCACUCAUCCUGUUCAUAAAAAGGAAGAUAACUUGAAGAGGGCUGAACCAGUCAGGUGAGUCCUCACACUAGAUUGAGUCCUUCCUGAAAUUAGAGAGAAUGGAAGUGUGGGGACACUUUCACCUAUAGCAGGGUCCUUAAGUCAGAUGAUUGAAAGUCUGAGAUGGCCUGCCUGUGAAGGGGAUCAGGGAGUGAGAUCCUGAAAGUGGUUCAAUUGCUAGCAGGAAGUUGGGGACUUCAGUUCUACACACGUAAGGAACCUCAUUCUUCCAACAACCUGAUAGUCUUGGGGCAGUUCUUUCCAAUUAGGUACUCCAGAUGAAGACACAGCCAGCCGACACGUUGAUUUCAGCCUCCGGAGUCCCUUAGCAAGAAAAGUCAUCUAAAGUGUGCUGCCUUCCUGACCCACAGACACAGAAUGGAGUUAAAGUAGAGUGAAUAUUAAAUGAAGAGAAUCUUAAUGUUCAGAAUGAGUAAUACUACCCCUUCAAUUUAACAACACUUUGAAAGUAUCAAGUACUAUUCUAAUUUCUUGAAAGGCCUAUGUGAUCAACACAUAAAUAAAGGUACCAGCUGCAAGAACCCACAGAAGGAUAUUUCAGAUUCUCAUUUCAGCAAACAGACGGACACCUAAAAGUGUGGGAGCAGAAGACAUCACCAAGGAAAGCAUGUUUAAAGUGGAAUGAUACAUUAACAUGGACAACAAAAUCCUUGAUAUUCAGUCCAGACUGAAAUGUGUAAUGAAAAUAGUUGGAUGUUAAAAAAUUCAAGAGUGAGAAGUAUCAGCAAGGAGGAUCUCGUCCUUAUUAUUGAAGUAAGAUUUUCCUGACAUCAGUGCAUCCUUUUGAGUGCGUUAGCAUAUCUCUUAAGAUUUCCGUUUCGGUCUUGACCUGGGGCUUUCUUUUUCAAUGUCACUUUGAAAAAAAAAAAUCUUGAGAUAAUUCUUGGCUUUGUCAAGGAUACCAGUAACAAAAGCAUCAGCAAGUGGGUCUUGCUCUGCUUAUCAGUUUGGAGUUCAGCGGCAUGUUCACGUCUGACUGCAGCCUCACCCUCCCAGGCUCAAGUGCUCCAGUCACCUCAGCCUCCUGAGCAGCUAGAACCACAGGCUGUACAAGACGCACAGUGGCACCUGAGGAGCCCUCGGGAGACUUAAAUCAUGGCAAAAGGAGCAGAGAUUAAAUGAUUAGUGACUUCUCCAUCACGUCAUCGUUACUUCGUUUCUGUAGAAUGCCACUCUGGUGAACCCUUCCCCAGGUAAGAAAGAAAUAACAGUUUCCAUUUGGAUUCACUGAGGACCAUAUCUGCUGAAAGGUCGUCUGUAGAGCGGAAGCAUCCCAUUAGGUGAGGUUGGAAGCCUCAGAGUUGCUUGCUGCCCAGCCUCAGUUUUUCUCUUUGUGGAGAUGCAGUUACCUAUCACUGGAAAACAAAACGUCCCAUUUUCAGCCAUGUGACUGCAUCAGCUUAUGCGGAGGUAAACUCUGCUGGGCUCAGUCUAGUCUGUGCACUCCAGCUCCACAGUCAUAUUAAUUUCUAUAGAAAAGGGCUUAAAAUACACAGCUAAUGUGAAUUUAAAAAGUAUUUCAAGAAUUUUUUAAAGCUUCUCCUCUGUUUCAAAGCAACUAAAUUAGAUAUCUUUUAACAGUGAUUGACCAUAAUAAUUUAUCUGUACAACUAUCUUUCAUGUAAUAUAGCUCGUUUUUACCCCCACAUCUGUUAUACUAGUUCAUGUGAUUCUAAGGCUGUGUGUGAAUCAUAAUGGAUUAUAGUACAUUUUUUUUAAAUUAUGCUUUAAGUUGUGGGAUACACGUGCAGAAUGUGCAGUUUGGUUACAUAGGUAUACACGUGCCAUUGUGAUUUCCUGCACCUAUCAACCCGUCAUCUACAUUAGGUAUCUCUCCUAAUGCUAUGCUUCCCCUAGCCCGUCAUCCCCUAACUGUCCCUGGUAUGUGAUGUUCCCUUCCCUGUGUCCAUGUGUUCUCGUUGUUCAACACCCAUUUAUGAGUAAGAACAUGCAGUAUUUGGUUUUCAGUUCCUGUUUUAGUUUGCUGAGAAUGAUGGUUUUCAGCUUCAUCCAUGGCCCUGCAAAUGACAUUAACUCAUUGUUUUCACGGCAGCAUAGUAUUCCAUGGUGCAUUUGUGCCGCAUUUCUUUAUCCAGUUUAAUCACUAAUGGGCAUUUGAGUUGCUUCCAAGUUUUGGCUAUUGUGAAUAGUGCCGCAAUAAACGUGUGUGCAUGUGUCUUUAUAAUAGAAUUACUUAUAAUCCUUUGAGUAUAUACCCAGUAAUGGGAAUGCUCAAAUGGCAUUUCUAGUUCUAGAUCCUUGAGGAAUUGCCACACUGUCUUCCACAAUGGUGGAACAAAUGUAUACUCCCACCAACAGUGUAAAAGCUUUCCUGUGUCUCCACAUCCUCUGCAGUAUCUGUUGUUUCCUGACUUUUUAAUGAUCGCCAUUCUAACUGGCGUGAGAUGGUUUCUCAGUAUGGUUUUGAUUUGCAUUUCUCUAAUGACCAGUGAUAAUGAGCUUUUUUCAUAUUUUUGACCACAUAAAUGUCUUCUUUUGAGAAGUGUCUGUUCAUAUUCUUUUCCCACUUUUAGAUUUUUUUUCUUGUAAAUUUUUGUGUUUUUUUUUUAAAUUUGUUUAAGUUCCUUGUAGAUUCUGGAUAUUAGCCCUUUGUCAGAUGGAUAGAUUGCAAAAAUUUUCUCCCAUUCUGUAGGUUGCCUAUUUAAUGAUAGUUUCUUUUGCUAUACAAAUGCUCUUUAGUUUAUGCUCUUUAGAUCCUAUUUGUCAAUUUUGGCUUUUGUUGCCACUGCUUUUGGUGUUUUAGACAUGAAGUCUUUGCCCAUGUCUAUGCUCUAAAUGGUAUUGCCUAGGUUUUCUUCUAGGAUUUUUGUGGUUUUUGGUCUUAAACAUAAGACCUAAAACCUAAUUCUUUAAUCCAUCAUGAAUUAAUUUUGGUAUAACCUGUAAGGAAGGGGUUCAGUUUCAAUUUUCUUCAUAUGGUUAGCCAGUUUUCCCAACACCAUUUAUUAAAUAGGGAAUACUUUCCCCAUUGCUUGUAUUAGUCAGGUUUGUCAAAGAUCAGAUGGUUGUAGAUGCAUCACAGUACUUCUGAGGCCUCUGUUCUGUUCCAUUUGUCUAUAUAUCUGUUUUUUGGUGCCAAUACCAUACUGUUUUGCUUACUGUAGCCUUGUAGGAUAGUUUGAAGUCAGGUAGCGUGAUGCCUCCAUCUUUGUUCUUUUUGCUUAGAACUGUCUUGGCCAUACAGGUCCUUUUUUGGUUAAAUCUGAAAUUUAAAGUAGUUUUUCUAAUUCUGUGAAGAAAGUCAAUGGUGACUUGAUGGGGAUAGCAUUGAAUCCAUAAAUUACUUUGAGCAGUAUGACCAUUUUCAUGAUAUUGAUUCUGCCUAACCAUGAGCAUGAAAUGAUUUGUCAUGUUUGUGUUCUCUCUUAUUUCCUUGAGCAGUGGUUUGUAGUGCUCCUUGAAGAGUUCCUUCACAUUCCUUGUAAGUUGUAUUCCUGGGUAUUUUAUUCUCUUUGUAACUAUUGUGAAUGGGAGUUUACCCAAGAUUUGGCUCACUGUCUAUUAUUGGUGUAUAGGAAUGUUUGUGAUUUUUGCACAUUGAUUUUGUAUCCUGAAACUUUGCUGAAAUUUCUUAUCAGCUUAAGGAGAUUUUGGGCUGAGACAAGAGGGUUUUCUAAAUAUACAAUUUGACAUCUCUCUUCCUUUUUAAUUUCUUUCUGUUGCCUUGGCCACAACUUCAAAUACUGUGUUGAAUAGGAGUGGUGAGAGAGGGCAUCCUUGUUUUGUGCCAGUUUUCAAAGGGAAUGCUUCCAGCUUUUGCCCCUUCAGUGUGACAUUGGCUGUGGGUUUGUCAUAAAUAGCUCUUGUUAUUUUGAGAUAGUUCCAUCAAUACCUAGUUUAUUGAGAGUUUUUAGGAUGAAAGGGUAUUGAAUUUUUUUGAAGGUUUUUUUUGCAUCUAUGGAGAUAAACGUGUAAUUUUGUCAUUGGUUCUAUUUAUGUGAUAGAUUACUUGAAGUCAGCUCUGGAUGAAGCAGACCUAAUAGACAUUGACAGAAUUCUCCACACCAAAUCCACAGAAUGUAUAUUCUUCUCAGCAUGACAUCACACUUAUUCUAAAAUUUACCACAUAAUUCGAAGUAAAACACUCCUUAGUAAAUGCAAAAGAUUGGAAAUCAUAACAAACAGCCCCUCAGACCACAGUGCAAUGAAAUAAAUACUUAGGAUUAAGAAACUCACUCCAAACCACACAAUUACAUGGAAACUGAACAAUGUGACCCUGAAUGACUGCUGGGUAAGUAACGAAAUUAAGGCAGAAAUAAAUAAGUUCUUUGAAACCAAUGAAAACAAAGACACAACACACCAGAAUAUCUGGGACACAGAUAAAGCAGUGUUUAGAGGGAAAUUUAUAGCACUAAAUGCCCACAGGAGAAAGUGGGAAAGAUCUAAAAUCAACAUCCUAACAUCAAAAUUACAGGAACUAGAGAAGCAAAAGCAAACAAAUUCAAAAGCUAGCAGAAGACAAGAAAUAACUAAGAUCAGCGCAGAAAUGAAGGAGACAGAGACCUGAAGAACCCUUCCAAAAAUCAAUUACUCCAGUAGCUGUUUUUUUUUUAAGAUUAACAAAAUAGGUAUACUGCUAGCCAGACUAAUAAAGAAGAAAAGAGAGCAGAAUCAAAUAGACACAAUAAAAAAUGAUAAAGGGAGUAUCAGCACUGAUUCCCACAGAAAUGCAAACUACCCUCAGAGAAUAGUAUAAACACCUCUAUGUAAAUAAACUGGAAAAUCUAAAAGAAAUGGAUAAAGUCCUAGACACAUACAUCCUCCAAAAGACUAAACCAGGGAGAAGUCGAAUCCCUGAAUAGACCAAUAACAAGUUCUGAAAUUGAGGCAGUAAUUAAUAGCCUACCAACCAAAAAAAAAAAAAAAAGCCAAGGACCAGGCAGAUACACAGCCGAAUUCUCCCAGAGGUACAAACAGGAGCUGGUACCAUUUUUUCUGAAACUAUUCCAAACAAUAGAAAAAGAGAGACUCCUUUCUAACUUAUUUUAUGAGGCCAACAUCAUUUGAUACCCGAACCUGGCAGAGACACAAAAAAAAAAAAAUUUCAGGACAAUAUCCCUGAUGAACAUCAAUGAGAAAAUCCUCGAUAAAGUAAAAAUUCAUUUUAAAAAGUAUUUUUAAAGCAUAUUGACAUCCAGGAAGGACUGAGGGGAAGGGGUUAAGUAUCUGCUAUGACUAAAUUUGAAGUCAAACGCAAUGACAUUGUUAACUAUCUACAGUUAGUAUAAGAUUUUCAAUUUAAGACAAUUUUUUUAAAUGAGUAAUUACCAACAAUCCAAACACAAGAAAAAACACUAGAACAUUUUCUGAAUGUAAUUUUAUGUAUUAGACAGAUGUUCAGUUAUAGAGAGAAAAUAAUAAGAAGGACGCAGGGUUUUAUCAAGUAGCCAAUGAGAAAUUCUUGGGUGAUAUUAAAAUCUAACAAUGACCAGACUUCUAGUUCAGAAAGACUGUGCUGGGAAAAAGUGUGGGGAAUGAAUUUGAGUGGGAUAAGGAAGCAAGCAGGAAAAGGAAUUACACGUUUGGUGUUUGAUGGUUACGGUACACUUGUAUUUUCACUAACCUGGUGUUUCAGCAGUACUGUAUAAAUUUAGAACUGAAUCAUAUUAAUUCAUUCUGACAUGAAUUCUAAACAUGCUUACUGAAACCAAAAUUUGAGAUUAAAAACAAACAAACAAAGAUGAUUUAAAAAGCACCUCUUGUUAAGCCAAGACCUUAGUAAGAGCAGUAUCAAUAGCAUCUGUUAGGCAUGAAGGACAUUUUCCUGUUAGGCUGUGAGCCGAGAAAUAGAAAUGAAUUAACACACAUAGAGAAGGCUGUCGCUGCUUUCAAGCACAAGUCACUUCAUUGUCCAGAUCUCUGGCAUUCCAGGCAGGUGUGCCAAGUCCCAACACUUCUCACUAGAAAAAUCAUGACUGCUACUUUACAGAAGGGCAGACUGAAACAAACAUGUGAGCCACCUGCAUAAAUUCCUAAAACAAUUUAGUGAAAGGCGGACAAAACUGCUAUGUCUUGAGUGAGUCCAGGGUCGAUGCUUUACUAAGAAUGGUCAAAUGUUGACUUUCAAGGUAUUUUUUUUUAGAUUCUGAUCAAUGGAGAAGUGGAGCCUUCAAAAUUUCUCCUCAUGGAGGCUAUUAAUAUUUGUUGCGAUAUUCUUUUUAUAAUGCUUCAUAGUUUUUUUUUUUUUCUCAAAUCACCUUGAAUAAUGUACUUAGCGUAGCAGUUGUGGUUCUACUUGAGACCUGGCUAAGACUGAGCUUGACAUAAUCAAGCUACUAAGGCAUUUGCCUCAUGUCUGCAUUAAAUAGUAAAGAAGAACUGGGAGACAACAUUGCAGGUAGAAAAGCUACUUUUCAUAGAGGACGGUAGCAGCAUUGAUAGUGAUAUAGUCCAUCCUCCUUCCAUUGAAUUUUGAACAGUACAUAAUUAUAAGGAGACUAAGGAUAAAGGACAUAACGGAUCAUACUUCUGAGUGCAUGUGAGGUACCCAUACAUGACGACACAGAGCUACGGUGAACAAAUUCUGGAGACACAGAGGCCCUGCAAUUGUUUCACUGCUGGUUAAUUUGUUUAUUUCGUAAAUGCAACUUUCUCUGUAUGAACAUCAGUUUGUUACUACAUCAGGAAUAAAACAGUUGGCGAUGUGUAUCGCAGUGGACUAGCUUAGGAGUAAUCCAUGAAUUCUCAAUUCAUCAAGAAAGUGAAAAGGAAAUAUACAAACUGAGAGAAAAGUUUCCCGUGCCCUAUGUCUGAUAAGGGCUUGC
Molecule: non-coding RNA, 18278 nt
Organism: Callithrix jacchus (white-tufted-ear marmoset)
Lineage: Eukaryota; Metazoa; Chordata; Mammalia; Primates; Cebidae
Source: RefSeq, a predicted model, not a curated record